This 507-nucleotide ribosomal RNA is filed under the name uncultured bacterium. Its description in RNAcentral is "bacterial SSU rRNA". It matches the Rfam family "Bacterial small subunit ribosomal RNA", at positions 28 to 527 of the family's 1533-position model. The record is from RNAcentral.
GAUGAACGCUAGCGACAGGCUUAACACAUGCAAGUCGAGGGGCAGCAUAGAAGUAGCAAUACUUUGGUGGCGACCGGCGCACGGGUGAGUAACGCGUAUGCAACCUACCUAUCAGAGGGGAAUAACCCGGCGAAAGUCGGACUAAUACCGCAUAAAACAGGGGCACCGCAUGGUGAUAUUUGUUAAAGAAAUUCGCUGAUAGAUGGGCAUGCGUUCCAUUAGGUAGUUGGUGAGGUAACGGCUCACCAAGCCGACGAUGGAUAGGGGAACUGAGAGGUUGGUCCCCCACACUGGUACUGAGACACGGACCAGACUCCUACGGGAGGCAGCAGUGAGGAAUAUUGGUCAAUGGGCGGGAGCCUGAACCAGCCAAGUCGCGUGAAGGAAGAAGGAUCUAUGGUUCGUAAACUUCUUUUGCAGGGGAAUAAAGUGCAGGACGUGUCCUGUUUUGUAUGUACCCUGAGAAUAAGGAUCGGCUAACUCCGUGCCAGCAGCCGCGGUAAAACG